This 465-nucleotide ribosomal RNA is filed under the name uncultured bacterium. RNAcentral's name for it is "partial 16S ribosomal RNA". It matches the Rfam family "Bacterial small subunit ribosomal RNA", at positions 28 to 507 of the family's 1533-position model. The record is from RNAcentral.
GACGAACGCUGGCGGCGUGCUUAACACAUGCAAGUCGAACGGAAAGGCCCUGCUUGCAGGGUACUCGAGUGGCGAACGGGUGAGUAACACGUGGGUGAUCUGCCCUGCACUUCGGGAUAAGCCUGGGAAACUGGGUCUAAUACCGGAUAGGAGCCAUUUUUAGUGUGAUGGUUGGAAAGUUUUUUCGGUGUAGGAUGAGCUCGCGGCCUAUCAGCUUGUUGGUGGGGUAAUGGCCUACCAAGGCGGCGACGGGUAGCCGGCCUGGGAGGGUGGACGGCCACAUUGGGACGGAGAUACGGCCCAGACUCCUACGGGAGGCAGCAGUGGGGAAUAUUGAACAAUGGGCGCAAGCCUGAUGCAGCGACGCCGCGUGGGGGAUGACGGCCUUCGGGUUGUAAACUCCUUUCGCUAGGGACGAAGCUUUUUGUGACGGUACCUAGAUAAGAAGCACCGGCUAACUACGUG